CCUAGAGUUGUAGGCUUUGCCUGCUAUCUCUUACCCAGGUCUUUUUGAGUACUUACGUUUCCUCGGCGGGUCCGCCCGCCGAUUGGACAAUUUAAACCAUUUGCAGUUGCAAUCAGCGUCUGAAAAACUUUAUAGUUA
This 138-nucleotide unclassified non-coding RNA is filed under the name uncultured Leptosphaerulina. Its description in RNAcentral is "sequence contains ITS1". The record is from RNAcentral. Lineage: Eukaryota; Fungi; Ascomycota; Dothideomycetes; Pleosporales; Pleosporaceae.